UACAGAGGGUGCAAGCGUUAAUCGGAAUUACUGGGCGUAAAGCGUGCGUAGACGGUUGUUUAAGUCGGAUGUGAAAUCCCCGGGCUCAACCUGGGAAUUGCAUUCGAGACUGAAUAGCUAGGGUACGGAAGAGGGAAGCGGAAUUUCCGGUGUAGCAGUGAAAUGCGUAGAUAUCGGAAGGAACAUCAGUGGCGAAAGCGGCUUCCUGGUCCAGUACCGACGUUCAGGCACGAAAGCGUGGGGAG
This 245-nucleotide ribosomal RNA is filed under the name uncultured bacterium. RNAcentral's name for it is "partial 16S ribosomal RNA". It matches the Rfam family "Bacterial small subunit ribosomal RNA", at positions 524 to 768 of the family's 1533-position model. The record is from RNAcentral.